UUUAAUGUAAACCUUUCUUUCUAAUGAAAAAAAGGCAGUAUUUACAUUACUGUCAAGGAACAUCUCUAGUGGCCGCUCAUCAUUAUGAAAAUUGACUACUCUAAGAGGUGUGUGGAUUUUUUUUUUGUGUGUGUGUGUGUGUUGUGGUGGAGGGCGUGAUUGCAUGCUAGGGUGUGGGAAGGCGGGAUCCA
Molecule: long non-coding RNA, 191 nt
Organism: Bufo bufo (common toad)
Lineage: Eukaryota; Metazoa; Chordata; Amphibia; Anura; Bufonidae
Exons: 3
Source: RefSeq, a predicted model, not a curated record